AACGCACGAGACCUGCGGACCUGCGGAAGGAUCAUUGUGGGGAUUUUGAGCAAAAUUAGGAUUUUGACGCCCAGGGAAGGGGGGGGGGAGCCCCUCGCGAGUGCAGACGUGGUUGCCUGACAAAGAGUUUGGAUGGAUACAGGAGAAACAACUUUCAGCAAUGGAUCUCU
Molecule: unclassified non-coding RNA, 170 nt
Filed under: soil metagenome
Description: partial contains 5.8S ribosomal RNA, internal transcribed spacer 2, and large subunit ribosomal RNA
Source: RNAcentral